GACAUAGGGUGCUCCGGCUCCAGCGUCUAC
Molecule: non-coding RNA, 30 nt
Filed under: Homo sapiens (human)
Lineage: Eukaryota; Metazoa; Chordata; Mammalia; Primates; Hominidae
Source: RNAcentral